UUAUUAUUUCUCUUUUAUUGUGUUUAUUGUCUAUGGCAAACCAUUUUAUAUAAAUUCUUUCUAAGACAGUUUUCUACCCACCAGUAAGUUUUUUCUUUUAUGCCUUUUUCUAUAUAUUUUACAGAAUCUGUGCUAUGGCUAUCAUAACUUCAUAUUCAUGUAGGUUAGAACAAAGUGAACAUGUAAUAUUUUAACAUGAAAGAAACAAAAACAGAACAGUUUUUGUAAGUACACCUUUCAAAUACUGCUGUAUAUGUAUGUAUAUUUUUGCCAUCUUAGGUUUGCUUUCAGUGUUAAUUUAAAUGACUAUAGUUUAUGUACCUGUAGGGCAUUUCUCAAAGCCUUUUUGUGUUUAGUUACCAGUAUUUCUGGUAAGAAUAUGGAGCCUUAACAAGAUAUAUAUUUAUGCAAAUAAAUGAAUAUAUGUAAAAAUGCAUGAUAUAUAAUACUGAGGAUAUCCUACAUUCAUCAAACCUUGCUAAUCUGCUUUCUUCUUUGACAGACCUCUGGGCUCACCUUUUUAACUAAUCAGCAGUGACAAUUUUUAGAACUGUGAUUUUGACCAUGUUAACUAAGUUUAAAACAGACUUUUCUAUAGGACAAACUAAGUGGUAAUAUUAUUGUUAAAUAGACCUAGAAAAAUUUAGGCAACAAUAGAAGUUAAAUAAGUAAUAAAAUGUAAACAAUUAUAUUUUGAAAAUUGUCUGUACUUUUUUUUAGAUCAUUAAGUUAAUCUCAAUAUUUUCUGGUGAAUAAUGAAUGUACACAAAUAGUUUGAAGAACUGAUUUUAUCAUUAGCUUAUGUGCAUUUCUGUUUUUCCAAUGUGCAAUGUGAACAUUUAACAAUUUUUUUCACAAAAGCUUGUCAGAAGUUUGAUUUUGGGUCAGCUAGUGUGUUCUAUUAUUCUGUGGUAUAAAUUUCUUUGUGUUUCCGGUAUUUUAAAUUUUUUUAAUUUAUAAAAAUUAUGAAUAAUCCAACAACAAAUGAUAAAGAACAGAUCUAUUUCUAAGGUACAGCCAAAUAUUAAAUUUCUUUGGGUGCAAGUGACAGUUUGAAAGAAAUUCUAAGUUUUACACUGAAGAGUACAUGACUUAAUCUGACAGAUAAACCUUGAGGUUACUUGCCAAUUCUUCAGUGUACAAAUCUGAAAGCUUAACAUAGAUAAAUGAUCUGAGUAUUUUUUCCCCACAAAUUAUUGUGUGGGGAAAAUAGAAUGAGGCAUGAACACAGUAAAUAAAGAGAAUGUGAAUAAUGGCAAGGAGAGAAACACUUCAAAUAUAUUGAUUUAUCUCAACUUCAAGUUCUAAACUAACCAUAUGUUGUGUCACUUUUUUGAUAUUGUCUGUCAUAUCAUUCUUUUUUCAGCAAUAGCCCUCUUAAUUCUAUGUAUGACUAAUUAGUCCCAUAACAGUGCUAGUAUGAUCUCGCAUACAGACUAUUGAAUGUUUCAGUAGAAAGUACAGGUUAUUUAUUGUUUUUAAAUUGGUACAGCCCCCUUUUUUUUUUAUAAGAAAAUGUAUAUGGCUAUUAUAUCUUUUUAUGCCAUUUACCCAUGCUUUUAGUUUUUAGCCAGUAUUUUGUGUGAUUCAUAUGAGGCUUAAUCAACAAUUGAUUGUUACUAUUCUUAAGAAAGGUUGUUACCUUCUGCUUAUGUGUGGACCCAACCUCUUCUUAAUCUUGAUGACAGCUUUUUGUACAUAUAAAGUAACCCAUGACCAUGAUGUACAAAGGAGGAGAAUAUUGUUAUUCAUAGAACUAAUAAGCAACCCUUACCUUUUUGGAUCAAUCCAGAGAUGGUGAUGGAUAAUGAGAGAGAGAGAUUUGUAUAUGUGAACAAUGGCCAAAGUUUUUUGUGUUCUAGUAUUUCACCCAUGUUGGGAUUUUCAAUUGACAAGCUUCACAAGGGAGGAACCAGAUGGAGCUAGAAGAGGCAGAGCUUGUUAGCACUGUAAGAGUGGACUGUCAGUUUUUAGUACCUGGUGAAACCUAAAUUCUGAUGAAGUUUGCAGCUGUUAAAACUGUUCUAUUAUCUGCAAGUCAUUAGGAGCUUCUCGACCACAAAUUCUUUGUUAGAGGUGGUGUUUCUGAUGUUUGCUGGUUACAGCUAGAUGGAAUUUGCUCCCUUGUGAAACAUUAUGGGACAAAACUUUACCAAGUCAGUGAAGCACUGCGGUUGUUGAGACAAAGUGAUUAGUGAGGUCCUAAACAGAGAUAUAGAAAGUUUUGGAAUUUUUGUCUUUUCUGCAAUUUUUCAUGAGGAGAGCACAGUUUGGGAUUUGUGUGAACUAUUCAUGUAUAUGUCAACCAACUUGCAUGGGAUUUGGUACAAAGUUUUAGAUUUUUGUGUUUCUCAUGAUUUUUAUCAAAAUUGGCCAUGCUAGGAUUGUGUGGCAGAGACAUGUUGCAUUCACCUGCAACUGUUGGAAGUAAAAUUUUUUCACUUAUUAGUUUGUGUGUUUGAAAAAGGCCAUUAUCAAACCAAAAAUGUAUGUCACUAAAUACAUCUCUCAACCUUCUAAGUUUACACACAAACAUAACUCUCUGAAUCCAUGAUUUAUUGAACAGAAAAUAUUAAAUUUAUUUUUCAAUUUAUUUCUUGAUAUACAAGUAUAUUGUUGUUUGUAUUUGACAUGUGACUAGCUCCAGGACAGCAGUAAGUACUUUCACAUAGAAAAGUUAAAAGCAUUUUGUAUUAACUGUUAGACCUACCCAGUUGUCUCACUUCUGCAUCAUUGUUAUAUGUAGGUUAAUUGGGAAAGGUUUUUUGGUGGACAGCUCCUGCCUUGUGUUGGUUAAUGAUAAUGUUUUUGGUUUUAUGCUGAGUCCUUUAGGUUUGGAGAGUUGUUUUCUUAUUGCUUUUAUAGUACUGUUGAGUGUGGUUCUGGUGGAGGUCUUCUUAGUUUGUUGGAGUUUUCUUGGUUGAUUUAGGGAUGUCUUAAUUAUUUUUUUUUCUGUUUUCAGUAAAUGGUUCACCAUGGAGCUCAAAAUUUUGUCACCAACAAACAUAAGACAGAACCUGCUCACAAAAAACACUUUCUCUAAAUAUUAAACACACUGUAACAAGAAUCUUGAUUAAUUGGCUAUUAGACACUUAAAAUGUAAAGAACUUAAUAGAAUUUUAGUACUUAUUAUUUUGUAAAUUUUGACCUGUAGGUUUCAGUUUACCACAAUUACAAGAAUGACUGAUGGUUGGGUAGUAUUAAUGUUAAUAUGAAAUUGCUUUUUGUAAUGUGUUUUCUGUUAGUUUACAUAU
Long non-coding RNA from Limulus polyphemus (Atlantic horseshoe crab), 3254 nucleotides. RefSeq lists it as uncharacterized. The transcript has 5 exons. The record is from RefSeq and is a predicted model, not a curated record. NCBI's taxonomy places the organism in Eukaryota, Metazoa, Arthropoda, Merostomata, Xiphosura, Limulidae.